UACGGAGGGUGCGAGCGUUGUCCGGAAUCACUGGUCGUAAAGGGCGCGUAGGCGGCGCGGGCAGUCAACGGUGAAAGCUUGGGGCUCAACCCCGAGUCGGCCGUCGAUACUCCCGGGCUGGAGCACUGUAGAGGCAGGUGGAAUUCCGGGUGUAGCGGUGGAAUGCGUAGAGAUCCGGAAGAACACCGGUGGCGAAGGCGGCCUGCUGGGCAGUAGCUGACGCUGAGGCGCGACAGCGUGGGGAGCGAACAGG
This 253-nucleotide ribosomal RNA is filed under the name uncultured bacterium. Its description in RNAcentral is "partial 16S ribosomal RNA". It matches the Rfam family "Bacterial small subunit ribosomal RNA", at positions 524 to 776 of the family's 1533-position model. The record is from RNAcentral.